CACGUAGGAGGCGAGCGUUGUCCGGAAUCAUUGGGCGUAAAGAGCGCGCAGGCGGCUUGGCAAGUCGGGUGUGAAAUCCCGGGGCUCAACCCCGUGACUGCAUUCGAUACUGUCAGGCUAGAGGUAGGUAGGGGAGAUCGGAAUUCCUGGUGUAGCGGUGAAAUGCGCAGAUAUCAGGAGGAACACCGGUGGCGAAGGCGGCUCUCUGGGACGGUACUGACGCUGAGACGCGAAAGCGUGGGGAGCGAACAGG
RNAcentral lists this ribosomal RNA (253 nucleotides) under uncultured bacterium. RNAcentral's name for it is "partial 16S ribosomal RNA". It matches the Rfam family "Bacterial small subunit ribosomal RNA", at positions 524 to 776 of the family's 1533-position model. The record is from RNAcentral.